Molecule: ribosomal RNA, 254 nt
Filed under: uncultured prokaryote
Description: partial 16S ribosomal RNA
Rfam family: Bacterial small subunit ribosomal RNA
Source: RNAcentral
UACGUAGGGAGCGAGCGUUGUCCGAAGUUACUGGGCGUAAAGCGCGCGUAGGCGGGGGAGUAAGUGAGAAGUGAAAGGCUGGGGCUCAACCCCAUGCAGUGCUUCUCAUACUGCUUCUCUUGAGGGCGGUAGAGAGAAGUGGAAUGGCUGGUGUAGCGGUGAAAUGCGUAGAUAUUGGGAGGAACACCGGUGGCGAAGGCGGCCCCCUGGACCGGUACUGACGCUGAGGCGCGAAAGCGUGGGUAGCAAACGGG